RNAcentral lists this non-coding RNA (28 nucleotides) under Mus musculus (house mouse). The record is from RNAcentral. Lineage: Eukaryota; Metazoa; Chordata; Mammalia; Rodentia; Muridae.
UGGCACCAAAUCCUCAAGGGUUCAUUCA